Molecule: ribosomal RNA, 1794 nt
Filed under: uncultured eukaryote
Lineage: Eukaryota
Description: SSU rRNA
Rfam family: Eukaryotic small subunit ribosomal RNA
Source: RNAcentral
UACCUGGUUGAUCCUGCCAGUAGUCAUAUGCUUGUUUCAAAGAUUAAGCCAUGCAUGUCCCAGUAUGAACCAAUGAACGGUGAAAUUGCGUAUGGCUCACUAAAGCGGUUAUUUUCUAUGCAAGAGGGGAAUCUUUACAUGGAUACCUCUGGGAAUUCUGGAGAUAAUACUUGCGCACAAGCCCAACGCUCACGGAGGGCUGUAGAUGUCAGCGUUGAAAUCAUUUCAGUGUAACUGGUAAAUGAAGAAUCAAGACAACGAUUCGGAUCGCAUACCUUCAGGUGGCGACAAUUUGCUCGAGUUUCUGACCUAUCAGCUUCUGACGGUAUUGUAUUUGCUCACCGUGGCUACGACGGGUAACGGAGAAUUAGGGUUCGGUUCCGGAGAGGGAGCUUGAUAAUCGGCUACCACAUCUAAGGAAGGCAGCAGGCGCGCAAAUUUCCCACUGCUGAUAUAGCGAGGUAGUAACAAGAAAUGACUGUGCAAGGCAUACAUGUCAUGCAAUUGGAAUGGGCAGAUUGAAUACACUUCUGAGACGAACAAUUGGAGGGCAAGUCUGGUGCCAGCAGCCGCGGUAAUUCCAGCUCCAAUAGCGUAUAUUAAAGCUGCUGCGGUUAGAAAGUUCGUAGUCGAAUUCUGCACAAGGCAGGGGAUCCACCCUUUGGGUGUGAGACUUGCUUGCCUAUGGCACGAUAACAUCCUUGAGAUGCGAGUCACUCCGCAUGUCUGGGUAUGUAUCUUUUACUUUGAUGAAUUCAGUGUGCUUCGGGCGAGCAGAUGCUCAUAUACACCAGCAUGGAAUAAUAGCAAAAAGUCACACUAAAAAGCAUUGGUUUCUUCUGGGUGACUGAGAUGCACAGGGAUAGUUGGGGGCAUUCGUAUCUGACUGUUAGAGGUGAAAUUCUUGGAUCGGUCAAAGACGAUCGUAUGCGAAAGCAUUUGCCCAAGAUGUUUUCAUUGAUCAAGAACGAAAGUUAGGGGAGCGAAGACGAUCAGAUACCGUCCUAGUCUUAACCAUAAACAAUGCCAUCCAGAUAUUGGAAGUUGUAGUCACACUGACACUUUCGGCAUCUUGUGAGAAAUCAAAGUUCUUGGGUUCCGGGGGGAGUAUGGUCGCAAGGCAGAAACUUAAAGGAAUUGACGGAAGGGCACCACCAGGAGUGGAGCUUGCGGCUUAAUUUGACUCAACACGGGGAAACUCACCAGGUCCAGACAUAAUCAGGAUUGACAGACCAAUGACUCUCUCAAGAUUUUUAUGGGUGGUGGUGCAUGGCCGUUCUUAGUUGGUGGAGUGAUUUGUCUGGUUUAUUCCGUUAACGAACGAGAUCUCAGCCUGCUAAAUACAGACGUGUACGCUCGUUUACGUGGCGGGUUUCUUAGAGGGACACUGCGUGUUUAACGCAUGGAAGCCUGGGGCAAUAACAGGUCUGUGAUGCCCUUAGAUGUCGUGGGCUGCACGCGCGCUACUCUGAUGCAUGCAUCCAGUCGCAUGACCUGUCCUGGAGGGGAUGGGAAAUCUUUUAAAAUUGCAGCGUGAUGGGGAUAGGUUAUUGAAAUUAUCAAUCUUGAACGAGGAAUUCCUAGUAAGCGCGUUUCAUCAGCUCGCGUUGAUUGCGUCCCUGCCCUUUGUACACACCGCCCGUCGCUCCUACCGAUUGAGUGGUCCGGCGAACUACUUGGAGAGCAAUGCGGAUCAGCUCCCUGCCCCGUUUAACUCGAAACUUCGUGAACCUUAUCACUUAGAGGAAGGAGAAGUCGUAACAAGGUUUCCGUAGGUGAACCUGCAGAAGGAUC